This 550-nucleotide ribosomal RNA is filed under the name uncultured Lachnospiraceae bacterium. Its description in RNAcentral is "bacterial SSU rRNA". It matches the Rfam family "Bacterial small subunit ribosomal RNA", at positions 156 to 724 of the family's 1533-position model. Lineage: Bacteria; Bacillati; Bacillota; Clostridia; Lachnospirales; Lachnospiraceae. The record is from RNAcentral.
AUGACUGCUAAUACCGCAUAAGACCACAGCACCGCAUGGUGCGGGGGUAAAAACUCCGGUGGUAUGAGAUGGACCCGCGUCUGAUUAGCUGGUUGGUAAGGUAACGGCUUACCAAGGCGACGAUCAGUAGCCGACCUGAGAGGGUGACCGGCCACAUUGGGACUGAGACACGGCCCAAACUCCUACGGGAGGCAGCAGUGGGGAAUAUUGCACAAUGGGGGAAACCCUGAUGCAGCGACGCCGCGUGAGCGAAGAAGUAUUUCGGUAUGUAAAGCUCUAUCAGCAGGGAAGAAAAUGACGGUACCUGACUAAGAAGCACCGGCUAAAUACGUGCCAGCAGCCGCGGUAAUACGUAUGGUGCAAGCGUUAUCCGGAUUUACUGGGUGUAAAGGGAGCGUAGACGGAUGGGCAAGUCUGAUGUGAAAACCCGGGGCUCAACCCCGGGACUGCAUUGGAAACUGUUCAUCUAGAGUGCUGGAGAGGUAAGUGGAAUUCCUAGUGUAGCGGUGAAAUGCGUAGAUAUUAGGAGGAACACCAGUGGCGAAGGCGG